This 468-nucleotide ribosomal RNA is filed under the name uncultured bacterium. Its description in RNAcentral is "partial 16S ribosomal RNA". It matches the Rfam family "Bacterial small subunit ribosomal RNA", at positions 28 to 507 of the family's 1533-position model. The record is from RNAcentral.
GACGAACGCUGGCGGCGUGCUUAACACAUGCAAGUCGAACGGAAAGGCCCUGCUUUUGUGGGGUGCUCGAGUGGCGAACGGGGGAGUAACACGUGAGUAACCUGCCCUUGACUUUGGGAUAACUUCAGGAAACUGGGGCUAAUACCGGAUAGGAGCUCCUGCUGCAUGGUGGGGGUUGGAAAGUUUCGGCGGUUGGGGAUGGACUCGCGGCUUAUCAGCUUGUUGGGGGGGUAGUGGCUUACCAAGGCUUUGACGGGUAGCCGGCCUGAGAGGGUGACCGGCCACAUUGGGACUGCGAUACGGCCCAGACUCCUACGGGAGGCAGCAGUGGGGAAUAUUGCACAAUGGGCGGAAGCCUGAUGCAGCAACGCCGCGUGCGGGAUGACGGCCUUCGGGUUGUAAACCGCUUUCGCCUGUGACGAAGCGUGAGUGACGGUAAUGGGUAAAGAAGCACCGGCUAACUACGUG